GUCCAGGGAUGGGAAUCGAACCCACAAUCUUCCGCUUACCGGGCAGAUGCCAUGUCCACUAGGCUACCCUGGA
Cordylochernes scorpioides is the source of this 73-nucleotide non-coding RNA. The record is from the annotation of a GenBank genome assembly. Lineage: Eukaryota; Metazoa; Arthropoda; Arachnida; Pseudoscorpiones; Chernetidae.